This 253-nucleotide ribosomal RNA is filed under the name uncultured bacterium. Its description in RNAcentral is "partial 16S ribosomal RNA". It matches the Rfam family "Bacterial small subunit ribosomal RNA", at positions 524 to 776 of the family's 1533-position model. The record is from RNAcentral.
UACAGAGGGUGCGAGCGUUAAUCGGAAUUACUGGGCGUAAAGCGUGCGUAGACGGUUAUGUAAGUCAGGUGUGAAAGCCCCGGGCUCAACCUGGGAAUUGCAUUUGAGACUGCAUAGCUAGGGUGCGGAAGAGGGAAGCGGAAUUUCCGGUGUAGCGGUGAAAUGCGUAGAUAUCGGAAGGAACAUCAGUGGCGAAAGCGGCUUCCUGGUCCAGCACCGACGUUCAGGCACGAAAGCGUGGGGAUCAAACAGG